This 98-nucleotide non-coding RNA is filed under the name Mycobacterium bohemicum. Its description in RNAcentral is "Glycine sequence". It matches the Rfam family "Glycine riboswitch aptamer". From Rfam's summary of the family: This family represents the bacterial glycine riboswitch. Glycine riboswitches usually consist of two metabolite-binding aptamers domains with similar structures in tandem. The aptamers cooperatively bind glycine to regulate the expression of downstream genes. The record is from Rfam by way of RNAcentral. RNAcentral also lists the same sequence under 1 other name. Lineage: Bacteria; Bacillati; Actinomycetota; Actinomycetes; Mycobacteriales; Mycobacteriaceae.
CGCACUCGAGCGGGAGAGUCCCGUGGCCACCAGCUACGGGCGCCGAAGGAGCAACACCUCUCCGUCAACCUCUCAGGCACCCGGACCGCACGAGUUAA